UACGUAGGUGGCAAGCGUUGUCCGGAUUUACUGGGCGUAAAGCGUAUGCAGGCGGCUACUUAAGUCGGAAGUGAAAGGUGGGAGCUCAACUCCCACAUUGCUCCCUAUACUGGGUGUCUUGAGUGGCGGAGAGGGAGAUGGAACGACACGUGUAGCGGUGAAAUGCGUUGAUAUGUGUCGGAACACCAAUGGCGAAAGCAAUCUCCUGGACGCAAACUGACGCUGAGAUACGAAAGCCAAGGUAGCAAACAGG
Molecule: ribosomal RNA, 253 nt
Filed under: uncultured bacterium
Lineage: Bacteria
Description: partial 16S ribosomal RNA
Rfam family: Bacterial small subunit ribosomal RNA
Source: RNAcentral